GGUUUUAUAUUUGUUUGAUAUUAUGUCCUUUUGUUUACCGUUCCCUCUGCUUCUUUCUCAAUGAUCAGUCUUUUGAUCUCUCCAUCACGUUUGCAGUUCUGCUCCCAGCUUUCUCGUUUGCGCUUCCCAAGUCUUUGUUUGCGAUUCUGACACAAAGCUAUCGCGUGGGCGGGUCUUACAGGGGUGCGUCCCCAUUGGCUAAUGCGUAUUUGGAGUAUUUUUGAGUGACAGCUCAGUGCCUGCCGGCCCCCUGACGUUUCAGUGCAGUUAACUUAAGAGAUUUUGGAUGACACACAAACCACUCCACAGCGGAUUCCUACAAGAUUAAUAAAAUAAUAAUGAAACAUUGUGGGACGUGCAGGACCCCGAGCAGAGCAGAGCUACAAUGCUGUCCCAGGUAACGUUAGCUAGCUCACAUCAGGCAGCAGGCAGUCCAACCAGGAGGACGUGGUAGCAGCAGAAGGAGAGGAGCCCUCGGUCUCUCUGUGGAGGAAACACUGUUUGCUAAGGCUUCUAACAGCCAGGGUAUAGACCAAUAGAGUAUGUAUUGAUCAUAUUUUACUGAGAUACUCAAUUAACACUUACAAUAACCUUUUUCUUAAGUUUAUUUUCAUUUGUGUACUUGUAGUUUCUAAGUCCAUUGUAUAUCAAUAUAUACAGUAUA
Molecule: long non-coding RNA, 664 nt
Organism: Sander lucioperca (pikeperch)
Lineage: Eukaryota; Metazoa; Chordata; Actinopteri; Perciformes; Percidae
Exons: 3
Source: RefSeq, a predicted model, not a curated record